GCGGCCUAUCAGCUUGUUGGUGAGGUAAUGGCUCACCAAGGCGACGACGGGUAGCCGGCCUGAGAGGGCGACCGGCCACACUGGAACUGAGACACGGUCCAGACACCUACGGGUGGCAGCAGUCGAGAAUUUUUCUCAAUGGACGAAAGUCUGAAGGAGCGACGCCGCGUGGGGGAUGAAGGGCUUCGGUCCGUAAACCCCUGUCAUUUGUGAACAAACCUUACUAUUGAAUAGAUAGUGAGCUGAUAGUAGCGAAAGAGGAAGGGACGGCUAACUCUGUGCCAGCAGCCGCGGUAAUACAGAGGUCCCAAGCGUUGUUCGGAUUCACUGGCGUAAAGGGUGCGUAGGCGGUGGGGUAAGUCUGGUGUGAAAGCUCGGAGCUCAACUCCGAAAUGGCAUCGGAAACUACUUCACUUGAGGUUUGGAGGGGAGACUGGAAUUCCU
RNAcentral lists this ribosomal RNA (444 nucleotides) under uncultured Verrucomicrobiota bacterium. Its description in RNAcentral is "bacterial SSU rRNA". It matches the Rfam family "Bacterial small subunit ribosomal RNA", at positions 233 to 671 of the family's 1533-position model. Lineage: Bacteria; Pseudomonadati; Verrucomicrobiota. The record is from RNAcentral.